Lepisosteus oculatus (spotted gar) is the source of this 119-nucleotide ribosomal RNA. The record is from Ensembl. Lineage: Eukaryota; Metazoa; Chordata; Actinopteri; Semionotiformes; Lepisosteidae.
GCCAGCAGCCAUAUCACCCUGCAACUCACAACUGGCAGCCCACUGAAGCUAAGCAGGUAUGAGCCUGGUCAGCACCUGGAUGGGAGACCUCCUGGGAAAAACUAAGGUUGCUGCUGGAA